This 439-nucleotide ribosomal RNA is filed under the name uncultured bacterium. RNAcentral's name for it is "partial 16S ribosomal RNA". It matches the Rfam family "Bacterial small subunit ribosomal RNA", at positions 338 to 795 of the family's 1533-position model. The record is from RNAcentral.
CCUACGGGGGGCUGCAGUGGGGAAUAUUGCACAAUGGGCGAAAGCCUGAUGCAGCAACGCCGCGUGAGCGAUGAAGGCCCUCGGGUCGUAAAGCCCUGUCCUCAAGGAAGAUAAUGACGGUACUUGAGGUGGAAGCCCCGGCAAACUACGUGCCAGCAGCCGCGGUAAUACGUAGGGGGCUAGCGUUAUCCGGAAUUACUGGGCGUAAAGGGGGCGUAGGUGGUUUCUUAAGUCAGAGGUGAAAGGCUACGGCUCAACCGUAGUAAGCCGUUGAAACUGGGGAACUUGAGUGCAGGAGAGGAGAGUGGAAUUCCUAGUGUAGCGGUGAAAUGCGUAGAUAUUAGGAGGAACACCAGUUGCGAAGGCGGCACUCUGGACUGUAACUGACACUGAGGCACGAAAGCGUGGGGAGCAAACAGGAUUAGAUACCCGGGUAGUC